This 433-nucleotide ribosomal RNA is filed under the name uncultured bacterium. RNAcentral describes it as "partial 16S ribosomal RNA". It matches the Rfam family "Bacterial small subunit ribosomal RNA", at positions 29 to 507 of the family's 1533-position model. The record is from RNAcentral.
AGCGAACGCUGGCGGCAGGCCUAACACAUGCAAGUCGAACGAACUCUUCGGAGUUAGUGGCGGACGGGUGAGUAACACGUUGGAACGUGCCUUUUGGUUCGGAAUAACUCAGGGAAACUUGUGCUAAUACCGAAUGUGCCCUUCGGGGGAAAGAUUUAUCGCCAUUAGAGCGGCCCGCGUCUGAUUAGCUAGUUGGUGAGGUAAAGGCUCACCAAGGCGACGAUCAGUAGCUGGUCUGAGAGGAUGACCAGCCACACUGGGACUGAGACACGGCCCAGACUCCUACGGGAGGCAGCAGUGGGGAAUCUAGCGCAAUGGGAGAAAGACUGAAGCAGCCAUGAAGGGUGAAUGAUGAAGGUCGUAGGAUUGUAAAAUUCUUUCACCGGGGACGAUAAUGACGGUACCCGGAGAAGAAGCCCCGGCUAACUUCGUG